This 253-nucleotide ribosomal RNA is filed under the name uncultured bacterium. RNAcentral describes it as "partial 16S ribosomal RNA". It matches the Rfam family "Bacterial small subunit ribosomal RNA", at positions 524 to 776 of the family's 1533-position model. The record is from RNAcentral.
UACGAAGGAGGCUAGCGUUGCUCGGAAUCACUGGGCGUAAAGGGUGCGUAGGCGGGUCUUUAAGUCAGGUGUGAAAUCCUGGAGCUCAACUCCAGAACUGCCUUUGAUACUGAGGAUCUUGAGUUCGGGAGAGGUGAGUGGAACUGCGAGUGUAGAGGUGAAAUUCGUAGAUAUUCGCAAGAACACCAGUGGCGAAGGCGGCUCACUGGCCCGAUACUGACGCUGAGGUGCGAAAGCGUGGGGAGCAAACAGG